This is a long non-coding RNA of Cynara cardunculus var. scolymus (artichoke), 536 nucleotides long. RefSeq lists it as uncharacterized. The record is from RefSeq and is a predicted model, not a curated record. The transcript is spliced from 3 exons. Lineage: Eukaryota; Viridiplantae; Streptophyta; Magnoliopsida; Asterales; Asteraceae.
CCAGAUCACGGAAACAGGAAGUCCAACUUCAUCUUCAUCGAUCUUUUUUCUCCUUCUUCAUCGCACCUUUGACUCCAUCUCUGGCAGAGUUCAUCCUAAAUCGAAGAUAUCUUGUUCGAUAUUCAUCCUACAUUGCACAGGUUAGGCAGUUUUGUGGUUUAUGACUUAUCACACAUAAGCUUGUGCGAUUUGGUAUUCCUCGUUUAUCAAUCUUACCCAGUCAUCCGUAUUCAAGGUCAUUCUCGAUCACAGGUAUUCACAGGUCUCAUUUGAGGAUAAACUACAGGGAAGCAUUGCAGCUAGUCGGAAAUUUCUGUCUAGAAGAAGAACUCGAAGAACAUUGGUUGCAUCAUGACAGCUUGAGAGAUUUUGACUUAAAUCUCUCAUGAGAAUUUAUCCGGGCUCAAGACUUAUUUGUAUGCGUAAUCAUUGUAUCUGGAUUUGAACUUGUAAUUUGUUGAUCAAAUCGUUGCCUUUUCGUGUAAGCUUGAUUUGGGCUUGGAUCAUUAAUUCUGUUUUGAUCUCUGUUUUGGGCU